CCUACGGGGCGCAGCAGUGAGGAAUAUUGGUCAAUGGGCUUACGCCUGAACCAGCCAAGUCGCGUGAGGGAAGACUGCCCUAUGGGUUGUAAACCUCUUUUGUCAGGGAGCAACGCCGGCUACGUGUAGCCGGACUGAGAGUACCUGAAGAAAAAGCAUCGGCUAACUCCGUGCCAGCAGCCGCGGUAAUACGGAGGAUGCGAGCGUUAUCCGGAUUUAUUGGGUUUAAAGGGUGCGUAGGCGGACUGGAAAGUCAGCGGUAAAAUCGAGAGGCUCAACCUCUUUCCGCCGUUGAAACUGUCGGU
Molecule: ribosomal RNA, 305 nt
Filed under: uncultured bacterium
Lineage: Bacteria
Description: bacterial SSU rRNA
Rfam family: Bacterial small subunit ribosomal RNA
Source: RNAcentral